CGCGGUAAAGUUGCAGCGUCCGUACACGUGAGGGUUACAGGGCAUGAGUGGGAGCGGACGCCAGGCGAGAUUAUGCGGGUCAAAGAGGUAAGGGGACGAGAUGGAAGGGUCCUGAGGGAAUAUACACAGGAGAUGACUGAGAUGGUGGAGGUGAUGGCGGAAGGAAAUUAGGGUUUUGGAGGAGAGGAAGGCGUACCAUGCCUUACAAGUGCAUUUGAUACGAGAAUGGUGAGAGUAAGGGACCAUGGAGAGAAUUUGGGCUGCGAUGUCGUUUGGGAGACCGGGAAUUAGAGUCACAGUCUCGUCGAUUGACAGCAGUUGCGGAGACGCCGAAUAUGAAGAAGACAAGGACGGAAAUUGAUCCAUUUCUAUUCUUCUUCAAUUUAGAUAAAAUCAAAAUCAAUCAAAUCAAGCCAAGGCAUACACAUCUAUCUCCCACCAGCCUCCCAAUCUGAACAUCUAUUCACUAUACACAAGC
Molecule: unclassified non-coding RNA, 478 nt
Filed under: Hevea brasiliensis (rubber tree)
Lineage: Eukaryota; Viridiplantae; Streptophyta; Magnoliopsida; Malpighiales; Euphorbiaceae
Source: RNAcentral